GCUGAACGCUUUCUUCUUUCCUAAUACAUGCAAGUCGAGCGAACAGACGAGGAGCUUGCUCCUCUGACGUUAGCGGCGGACGGGUGAGUAACACGUGGAUAACCUACCUAUAAGACUGGGAUAACUUCGGGAAACCGGAGCUAAUACCGGAUAAUAUAUUGAACCGCAUGGUUCAAUAGUGAAAGACGGUUUUGCUGUCACUUAUAGAUGGAUCCGCGCCGCAUUAGCUAGUUGGUAAGGUAACGGCUUACCAAGGCAACGAUGCGUAGCCGACCUGAGAGGGUGAUCGGCCACACUGGAACUGAGACACGGUCCAGACUCCUACGGGAGGCAGCAGUAGGGAAUCUUCCGCAAUGGGCGAAAGCCUGACGGAGCAACGCCGCGUGAGUGAUGAAGGUCUUCGGAUCGUAAAACUCUGUUAUUAGGGAAGAACAAAUGUGUAAGUAACUAUGCACGUCUUGACGGUACCUAAUCAGAAAGCCAAGGCUAACUACGUG
This 497-nucleotide ribosomal RNA is filed under the name uncultured bacterium. Its description in RNAcentral is "partial 16S ribosomal RNA". It matches the Rfam family "Bacterial small subunit ribosomal RNA", at positions 28 to 507 of the family's 1533-position model. The record is from RNAcentral.